GACUGCUGCCCCCGCGACCCGGCCCCGGAUAAACGGAAGAAAAUGAUGAUGAUGAUGAUGAGACAUGGUGAUUAACCUACCAAAACACAGCGAGUUGGAGGCCAGGAGUGGAGGUCCAACCUACAACUUCAGGUCAAGUGGAAGAAAGUAAUAUUUUUGGAAAACCCUGCGUCUUGACCUGUUCGUCUGCCCCGUCGUGUCU
Molecule: long non-coding RNA, 202 nt
Organism: Esox lucius (northern pike)
Lineage: Eukaryota; Metazoa; Chordata; Actinopteri; Esociformes; Esocidae
Exons: 3
Source: RefSeq, a predicted model, not a curated record